GUUUUCUUGCUUUUCUCCCCCUCUUUUCGCUUAAUCCUUCGAGUAGAGGUUGAUUUUUCUUGCUCCUGGUUUGGAUUGUAUCCUGUAUACACAAGAAACAAAAAACCUAAAAGCACUUUUAUAGAAAAAAAAAAUAAAAAUAAAAAUAAAAACUUAAACAAAAUAUGUACAAAGUCAAAUUUAAUCAAAAUCACACUACUAAUAAUGUUAAACCACGAGUCCCCG
This 225-nucleotide long non-coding RNA is filed under the name Vigna radiata. RNAcentral describes it as "long non-coding RNA (VRAD_LNC011607)". Lineage: Eukaryota; Viridiplantae; Streptophyta; Magnoliopsida; Fabales; Fabaceae. The record is from RNAcentral.